RNAcentral lists this ribosomal RNA (363 nucleotides) under uncultured bacterium. RNAcentral's name for it is "bacterial SSU rRNA". It matches the Rfam family "Bacterial small subunit ribosomal RNA", at positions 29 to 417 of the family's 1533-position model. The record is from RNAcentral.
AACGAACGCUGGCGGCAGGCUUAAUACAUGCAAGUCGAACGGGCGCAGCAAUGCGUCAGUGGCAGACGGGUGAGUAACACGUGGGAACCUUCCUCGUUGUACGGAACAACUCAGGGAAACUUGAGCUAAUACCGUAUAAGUCCGAGAGGAGAAAGAUUUAUCGCAAUGAGACGGGCCCGCGUCGGAUUAGGUAGUUGGUGAGGUAACGGCUCACCAAGCCGACGAUCCGUAGCUGAUCUGAGAGGAUGAUCAGCCACACUGGGACUGAGACACGGCCCAGACUCCUACGGGAGGCAGCAGUAGGGAAUCUUGGACAAUGGGCGCAAGCCUGAUCCAGCCAUGCCGCGUGAGUGAAGAAGGCCU